GACGAACGCUGGCGGCGUGCUUAACACAUGCAAGUCGAGCGGUAAGGCCCUUCGUUGUACACGAGCGGCGAACGGGUGCGUAACACGUGAGUAAUCUGCCCAUCACUUCGGGAUAACUCCGGGAAACCGGUGCUAAUACUGAAUCUGACCACUUCAGGCCUCUGCUGGUGGUGGAAAGUUCCGGCGGUGAUGGAUGAGCUCGCGGCCUAUCAGCUUGUUGGUGGGGUAGUGGCCUACCAAGGCUUCGACGGGUAGCCGGCCUGAGAGGGUGACCGGCCACACUGGGACUGAGACACGGCCCAGACUCCUACGGGAGGCAGCAGUGGGGAAUAUUGGACAAUGGGCGAAAGCCUGAUCCAGCAACGCCGCGUGAGGGAUGACGGCCUUCGGGUUGUAAACCUCUUUCAGCAGGGACGAAGCGAAAGUGACGGUACCUGCAGAAGAAGCACCGGCCAACUACGUG
RNAcentral lists this ribosomal RNA (463 nucleotides) under uncultured bacterium. RNAcentral's name for it is "partial 16S ribosomal RNA". It matches the Rfam family "Bacterial small subunit ribosomal RNA", at positions 28 to 507 of the family's 1533-position model. The record is from RNAcentral.